AUAUUGCGCAAUGGACGAAAGUCUGACGCAGCCACGCCGCGUGAGUGAAGACGGCCUUCGGGUUGUAAAGCUCUGUCAUCCGGGAAAAACGGCUAUCGGGGGAAAGUUCCGAUAGCGUGAUGGUACCGGAGGAGGAAGCACCGGCAAACUCUGUGCCAGCAGCCGCGGUAAUACAGAGGGUGCAAGCGUUGUUCGGAAUUACUGGGCGUAAAGCGUGCGUAGUCGGUAUUGAGAGUCGCGGGUGAAAUCCCAGGGCUUAACCCUGGAACUGCCUGCGAGACCUCAGUACUAGAGUGUGAGAGGGGAUAGUGGAAUACCCAGUGUAGCGGUGAAAUGCGUAGAGAUUGGGUGGAACACCGGUGGCGAAGGCGGCUAUCUGGCUCACAACUGACGAUCAGGCACGAAAGCGUGGGUAGCAA
Molecule: ribosomal RNA, 419 nt
Filed under: uncultured bacterium
Lineage: Bacteria
Description: bacterial SSU rRNA
Rfam family: Bacterial small subunit ribosomal RNA
Source: RNAcentral